This 436-nucleotide ribosomal RNA is filed under the name uncultured bacterium. Its description in RNAcentral is "bacterial SSU rRNA". It matches the Rfam family "Bacterial small subunit ribosomal RNA", at positions 774 to 1198 of the family's 1533-position model. The record is from RNAcentral.
AGCUAAUAGAUAUCCCGGUAGUCCUGGCAGUAAACGGUGCGCGUUUGGUGUGGGAGGAUUCGACCCCUUCUGUGCCGGAGCUAAACGCGUUAAACGCGCCGCCUGGGGAGUACGGUCGCAAGAUUAAAACUCAAAGAAAUUGACGGGGGCCCGCACAAGCGGUGGAGUAUGUGGCUUAAUUCGAUGCAACGCGAAGAACCUUACCUAGCCUUGACAUGCAUCUCUAAGUCGGUGAAAGCCGGCGAGUGUAGCAAUACACAAUUUGCACAGGUGCUGCAUGGCUGUCGUCAGCUCGUGUCGUGAGAUGUUGGGUUUAAGUCCCGCAACGAGCGCAACCCCUGUGAACUGUUGCCACCGGCCUUCGGCCGGAGCACUCUGUUCAGACUGCCCUCGUGAAACGGGGAGGAAGGUGGGGAGUGACGUCAAGUCAGCAUGG